AGGGGAGUGAAGAAAGAAGAUAAGACUCUGGCUGUAGGGAUCCAGUUUAUGCUCCAGAGAGUCUUGGCCUGGAUGCCCAGCCCUGUGAUCCACGGCAGCGCCAUCGACACCACCUGUGUGUACUGGGCCCAGAGCUGUGGGCGCCGGGCCGUCUGUCGCUACUAUGACCACGACCUGCUUCGAAACCGGUUCAUCGGUCUGCAGUUCUUCUUCAAGACAGGCUCCCUGGCCUGCUUUGCCUUGAUUUUGGCCAUCCUGAGGCAGCAGGACAAAGAGGAGGGGACCAAGGCGACUAUGUCCAGCCCUGGCCUCCAGCAGCAGCUGUUAGUGUCUGGGCCAAAGAAGGAGCCUGAGGAAUCCAGAGUGUGAGCUAUCCCUGGGCCCCCCACCUUGGCCAAGAGUGGCAGCCACAGCAAGAGCCUUUGGCCUGAGAUUGGGUGUCGAGAGCCCCAUUUUCCAAUUCUGAGUCCUCUGCUCACUUGCUUUGUGGCUUUGGGCAAGUUACUGACCAUUUUGGGCCUUUGUUUUCUCAUCUGAACCAAAGAAUUACGUGGGGGGUUGCUGCGUUGGCCACUCCUGAAGCACUAGGGUUUCCCCGCUUUCUCCUCCAGAAGCACAGCUGACUUGAAACCAGGCUUUCCUGGGUGGAAGGACUGCAUCUCUUUCCCCAAGGGCCCUAGGAUGGAGAAGUGGACAGUAGUAGGCCAGGUGGCCCUGCACACUGGGUCCUGGCCCUUCUCUGCUGCUCACCUGGAGCGCCUCUCUGAGCCUCAGCCUCUACCUCUAUCAGGUGGACAUGAACUUGUCAGCUUUCAGGCUCCUUCCAACGGUGACCUUCUCUGUGGCCAGGAGGGACUCAGGUCUCCUCCCCAAGCCCGCUCUGCUGGAGGUGGAGCCUGUCCAGCCUCUGUUGAGAAGUGUCCAUUUGGCGCCCCCUGGAGGCAGAGCUCUGGGGACACCCACUGGGGAGGGAAUGGGUCACAUUCAGGACAUCCGGGCUGGGCAGGGCCUUCAGGACACCUGGUGUGAGGGUCCCAGGGGUCUUGGCUGAGCUGGGGGAUUCACUCUCUGGACUCAGGAAAUCCCAGCCCUUGCCCUCAGGGAGCUACAGUGUGGGUGACUGUGCCUUAGGGUCUCUGGUGGAGAGGGGGACCCAGGCCCCCACACAGGGGCAUUUUCUAACUUCAAGGACCAAGCAUUCAGCACAGACUCACUGGUACCAUUCAUUGCCAAGAUUUCACACCUUUGACCCGGGCCCACCUAAGCCACUGUGACUUUUGUGAUGAGAAUUCUAAUUUCAUCCCUUCCUAAGUGAUGUGGUGUCGCCUGGGGUGUGUAGACACCGUUUGGGUCUGUGACACCCCUGUUUUGGGGUAACAUCUGGUUCUCUGUGAUGCCUGGGUUGGCAUAAGAACCUGCUUUUGGGGUAAUGCCUGGGUUUGUGUAACAAGUGGUCCAUUGGAUGCUUGGGUCUGAACAAGCAGAUCUUGUCUGUGUCAGGCCUUGUCCUGGCUUGGCUUGUUUUAUGGCCAGUCUUCUCCGGCCUGGUUCUCUCUCUGGGAAAGGGAGAGUUCCUCCCUCUGCUCCUGUCCCAUUUGGUCCCUACCCAUCCCCAGCCUGGCUACUUGGGAGGCAGGAGGCGGGGAGCCAUCAGCAGGGGCUUCCCGAACCCUGUGUCCAGCCCUCUGCUGGGAGCUGGGGGAGAAGCUGGGGGCCUGGGGCGCACCUGGCUCUGGCCCUCUAUGCCUCUCUCAGUGGCAGGGCUUCGAGGCCAUCCCACAUGAAAGAAGAGAGAGGGACCAGAGUUCUCGGCCCCAUUUUUAUUCUACUAGCUGAUACCUUCAACUGUUUAACAAAUAUCUGAGCCUGUAUUUAUCCAUGCCAGGAAUUUCAAAGUCCUCCAACAAGAGGAGGCUCUGUGUACUUCACACCCCUUUUCUUUCCCUCUUGUUUCCCAGAUUUUGCAGAAAUAACCUGGAAUUAUAGAUACAGCUCACUACUAAAUUUGUUCUUGCGUAAAGUCUCUUCUGUUUCCAGAAUCCUUUCUUAUAAACUGCAUUGCAGUUUGCAACAACCACCUUAUGGCCAGUUUUUCGAUUUAAGUUUUACUGGAUGCACGGCUCACCAUGAUGUCUCAUACAUUACAGCCUCCCCUACCUGUAUAUUCUGGUCUAAUUUUUGUCUGGCUGUGCAGCUUCCUCUAGGAACAGUUUCAGAAAUGGAACAAAGUCACAGGGCCUUCCACGUCCUCACCUGUCCAAACUGUCACUCAUGUUUUCCAGGAGAGAGAGCUGUUCAGGAAGGAUAAGCCACUUCUCCAGGAUCACACAAAAGUAACGGUAGCACUAGAAUGAGAUCCAGAUUGUGUGGGGAACUGAAGCUUAUACAAUCUGGAGACUCCUCUUUAAGAAAAGGAACAGAAAAUUAGGUAAGAAGGUGAAUAUUUACUUAGAAUGGAAAAAAAAAAGGAGUCAAAACAUACACAUUCCACAAUUCAGAAAAACAGCAUAAGAUUUUUUACUAACUGCUGGGCAAACUUCCACAAUUUUUCCUUUGAACGACUGGAAAUAUUUUCUACAGACUAGCUUUUGGUUCUGUACAUUUCAAAUCUGUUUUUCUUCUACUGCCCGCAUACGUCCAGGGCUGGGCAGCAGAAGACAUAGUCAUAUCACAGGAUGACCUCUGGAUAUGACACCUUGAUGUCACAGAGCCAAACGGGUUGGACUAUGGGUAGGAAGAUUCCUAGAAGCCAUCUUCUCUACAGAGGAAGCCAGCCAUGAUUUAUCUGUACACAAAAGUGACCGAGAACUGCAUAUAGAGAUAUAAAAUCUCCCUGUGAACCCAACUUAAAUUGAUCCCCAACUCCAGUCCCCUUCAGCCAGAUCCCAGACAGGCCCGUGCCAACCACCUCAGUUAAAGGGAAACUGGGACACAAGGGAAGCUGGAGCGGAAAGAACUGGCAAUCUUGCCCCAUUGUGGGCAAAGUGUCUACCUGUGCAUAUUUCCCGAGAACCUGACAGCAUCAACAUACUGCAGAUGCCUCUCCCUGUCCGGGCGGAGGAGAGGCCCUGAUGCUCAAACAGCCAUAGCUUUGUACUGAGUCCAUCUUGAGGUUAAGCUGAGACUUAAAGAUGAGGUGCUUGUGCUUAAAAACACCCAGGGAUCGAACCAUGUCCUCAAGGAUACUAGUCGGGUUUGUUACCACUCAGCCACAACGGGAACCCCUCCUACUAGAUUUUUUGGCAGUAAAAUCUAGCAGAGGACAGAGCUGGCACCAGAAUGGGCAUCCUGAUGCCCAGCCUGGAGUUCCUUUCCUGUAUACCCACGCUGGGAAGUUGCAGGGCAGGCAGUGCCCCUCAGGAGCCGGGAGCCAGGAGCCUCAAUUGGAGCAUAAAUAAAUGAGGAGCAAGAAUCCACGGCCCCCUUGCCACUCUUUGGACAUGUCAAAUUCUCUCCCCCAACGAGCCCCGCAUGUGCUCCUCCCUCCACGCAGCUGGACCCCUUCACGCCCCACCCCACUGCUUGCUUCUCCAUCCUGCUUCAUGAAGUCCUACCCAAUCUUCCAGACCCAGCUCAAAGGCCACCAUCUCCAGGGACACAGCAGGGUAUAAGCCAUGGGGUGGUGACAACCACCUUAGGGAAUCUGAUAAAAGAGAUGGACUCGCCAUUGAAAAUGCACACAAACGUAUACACCAGUGUGCCUCUGAUUUCAGAGCUCGGGGACCACCUGAAGCCUGGCUGUAGCCCUCCAGUUGAAUG
RNAcentral lists this long non-coding RNA (3759 nucleotides) under Sus scrofa (pig). RNAcentral's name for it is "lncRNA (ENSSSCG00025046923.1)". Lineage: Eukaryota; Metazoa; Chordata; Mammalia; Artiodactyla; Suidae. The record is from RNAcentral.